Molecule: ribosomal RNA, 306 nt
Filed under: Triticum aestivum (bread wheat)
Lineage: Eukaryota; Viridiplantae; Streptophyta; Magnoliopsida; Poales; Poaceae
Description: partial small subunit ribosomal RNA
Source: RNAcentral
AUGCCGCCCGCGCGCGCUCCGGCGGCCAGUCCGGCCAUUGUCACCGCGGUGAGCAGCAGCAUUGCCGGAAACUGUCUGCUCGCCAUCUUUGUUCUGUUGGAAGUUGGAAACUUGGAAUGGAGCUACUAUGCUGGAGAAGGUUCUUGGUCUGCUCAACGCCGUCGCAAGUUGACCCGGCAUGCACCUCUGGAUGAAGAUAGCUCUAGGAGAAUGAGUGGCGCGGGCAUCCCGGGCUUAAUUAUCGUCGCAAUCAGGGCCGUUGGCGGUACGAGUAGUAUGAUAUUCGGGCAUGACGGUGCAGGCUGA